RNAcentral lists this ribosomal RNA (301 nucleotides) under uncultured bacterium. Its description in RNAcentral is "partial 16S ribosomal RNA". It matches the Rfam family "Bacterial small subunit ribosomal RNA", at positions 509 to 807 of the family's 1533-position model. The record is from RNAcentral.
CAGCCGCCACGGUAAUACGUAGGUGGCAAGCGUUAUCCGGAAUUAUUGGGCGUAAAGCGCGCGUAGGCGGUUUCUUAAGUCUGAUGUGAAAGCCCACGGCUCAACCGUGGAGGGUCAUUGGAAACUGGGAAACUUGAGUGCAGAAGAGGAAAGUGGAAUUCCAUGUGUAGCGGUGAAAUGCGCAGAGAUAUGGAGGAACACCAGUGGCGAAGGCGACUUUCUGGUCUGUAACUGACGCUGAUGUGCGAAAGCGUGGGGAUCAAACAGGAUUAGAUACCCCCGUAGUCCCUGUCUCUUAUAC